GUAAAACCCCGAGCCGAGGCGGCGACGGGGAGGAGGGGAUAGGGAGGCGCCCUCCCCCGCGCUGGGGCUGGGAUCCCCGACACUACUGAAGGGGCACGUCCUUUGGCUGUGGUAGAGGGGCGGGCCGAUAAACAGGAGGCUUCAAAAUUUAAAGGAGCUGUCAAAAUGGAGGGUAGAAAAAGGAAUUAAUUCUUCAAAUUCUCUGGGAUCUCAAUUUCUUUACCAGUAAAGGAAGAAAAUAAAGUAUAAAACUUUCAUUCAUAUUCCAAGAUCUUUGAAGAGUAAUAAAGUUAUUCUCUGCAAGUAUUACCUUCAGGGUGAUCACGACCUCCUUGGGAAAAGACAUCAUGUGG
Molecule: non-coding RNA, 353 nt
Organism: Macaca mulatta (Rhesus monkey)
Lineage: Eukaryota; Metazoa; Chordata; Mammalia; Primates; Cercopithecidae
Source: RefSeq, a predicted model, not a curated record